This 253-nucleotide ribosomal RNA is filed under the name uncultured bacterium. RNAcentral describes it as "partial 16S ribosomal RNA". It matches the Rfam family "Bacterial small subunit ribosomal RNA", at positions 524 to 776 of the family's 1533-position model. The record is from RNAcentral.
GACAGAAGGUGCGAACGUUGUUCGGAAUUACUGGGCGUAAAGCGCGUGUAGGCUGCUCGGAAAGUCGGAUGUGAAAGCCCUGGGCUCAACCCAGGAAGUGCAUUCGAAACUCCCGAGCUGGAGUCCCGGAGAGGAAGGCGGAAUUCUCGGUGUAGAGGUGAAAUUCGUAGAUAUCUGGAGGAACACCGGUGGCGAAGGCGGCAUCCUGGACCGAUACUGACGCUGAGGAGCGAAAGCCAGGGGAGCAAACGGG